RNAcentral lists this ribosomal RNA (497 nucleotides) under uncultured bacterium. Its description in RNAcentral is "partial 16S ribosomal RNA". It matches the Rfam family "Bacterial small subunit ribosomal RNA", at positions 28 to 507 of the family's 1533-position model. The record is from RNAcentral.
GAUGAACGCUGGCGGCGUGCCUAAUACAUGCAAGUCGAGCGAACGGACGAGAAGCUUGCUUCUCUGAUGUUAGCGGCGGACGGGUGAGUAACACGUGGAUAACCUACCUAUAAGACUGGGAUAACUUCGGGAAACCGGAGCUAAUACCGGAUGAUAUUUUGAACCGCAUGGUUCAAAAGUGAAAGACGGUCUUGCUGUCACUUAUAGAUGGAUCCGCGCUGCAUUAGCUAGUUGGUAAGGUAACGGCUUACCAAGGCAACGAUGCAUAGCCGACCUGAGAGCGUGAUCGGCCACACUGUAACUGAGACACGGUCCAGACUCCUACGGGAGGCAGCAGUAGGGAAUCUUCCGCAAAGGGCGAAAGCCUGACGGAGCAACGCCGCGUGAGUGAUGAAGGUCUUCGGAUCGUAAAACUCUGUUAUUAGGGAAGAACAUAUGUGUAAGUAACUGUGCACAUCUUGACGGUACCUAAUCAGAAAGCCACGGCUAACUACGUG